UCCGUUGAACAACAUAGAUGCAUCGAGUUGAGUCUUAGUGACGGCCCUUCAUCUAUCAAAGCAUGAAGGGGGAAGGAGAAAAAAAAAAAAAAAAAAAUUCAAGCUGACUGGAACGGCAGCUACAGGCGGUAUCUCACAUACUCAUAAUCACAGGGAUGACGCAAACGGUGGCAGUCCGCAACAAAACAGUACCUGCAGAUGAGUCCGACUUCAGGGUGGCAUAGUGGUCCCGUAAGCGCUUUUGUCUCAUAGCAAGAAGCUCCUAUAGGUGCUGUGCCAUCAUCCUCCCUGCAUCUCAGCCCAGCUUCAUUGAAAAUCAUCAUUGAAGGAGAAGUGGUGAUGGACAACAUUCAAGACUUGCCAAAAGUUAAGUGCAUUCUCUUUGGACUUUCAUACGCAAUGCAUCUCACCUACCCCAGGUCUAUGAAGCUCACGUUCCAGUUUAUCCAACAGGUACUUCUAGAGCUGGGCCACAGUGAAAUUAAACCAAAGUUAUAAACAUUAAAAAACCAGCUUGCGAUGUAAAGCAAUGUUGUCUUGUGUGUUGUGCUACACCUGCAGGUUCUGCCACAGUUUUUACUGUUUAAGAAAGUUUACAAUGUUAUGAGAGACGUGAAUGUCCACCCAUUUGUGCUCUAUACAGUACCAGAUAUAUUGGCGGAUGCUCAGGACUGAGUAGUAACACUCAGUUAAUAUAAUGCAGUUAAAGGAAAGUUUGGCAUUUUUCAUGUAAAUGCCCAUUCUGUGUGCUCGAUUGACCAAAACGAUUUCCUGCUCAUGGGGCUGUGCAGUAGUGCCUUCAUAAAUCCACAUCUGCUGCACUCCUUGCCUGUCCAGAGGGCAAUCUAGAAAUGUAUGUUGAAAUAACAUGUAGUUCCUCCUUAACAGAAACAUGACUACAUAUUUUGCAAAAUAAGUUUUCUCAAACAAUUUAGCAGCACAGGGAUUUAUUGCAAAAUCUUCCCUUUUAACACAGUUCAUUUGUCCUUAUUCAAGUUGAAAAUUUAGAACAUUACGUCCAGUUUUAAUGUGUCAAGUUUUUCACAAGCAUACAUAUAAUGUUGAAUGCUGCUCAAUUUGUAUUCCUUCUCUAAUAAGAAUUGAUGUCAAGCACUUUUAAUGCCUAUAUUUCUUGCCUUUUAGAUGGCAAGCUUUUUUUUUCAGUGGCUACUGUUUCAAUACCAUUUUUG
This is a long non-coding RNA of Girardinichthys multiradiatus, 1190 nucleotides long. RefSeq lists it as uncharacterized. Lineage: Eukaryota; Metazoa; Chordata; Actinopteri; Cyprinodontiformes; Goodeidae. The record is from RefSeq and is a predicted model, not a curated record. The transcript has 3 exons.